Long non-coding RNA from Synchiropus splendidus (mandarinfish), 861 nucleotides. RefSeq lists it as uncharacterized. The transcript is spliced from 3 exons. The record is from RefSeq and is a predicted model, not a curated record. Lineage: Eukaryota; Metazoa; Chordata; Actinopteri; Syngnathiformes; Callionymidae.
AUUAACUCCGUCUCCUGACCAGCAGCUGAAUUCAUGGAUGUUUAAUUGGGACCUUUGAUAGCAAUACAUUCCAAGGUUCAGAGAUUCAGAUUUAUUUUAAGUUCAUCAUUUAGUUAGACCUUUUCUGAUAGAGUUGCUAUCCAGUCCCAGUUUCCAGAUACGAGGUUUUUCGAGGUUCAACUAAUCCCAGGUUUUCUAAAGCCACAUCAGAAGAAGUGCCAGUUAAAGCAGCCUUAAGUAGCGAAAGGAAGAAGAAGGAAAACUGUUCAGGUCCCAAGCAAGCAGAGAAUAAAGAGUGCCAGAGUGAAUCAAAGCAGCCAGAAGUCAGCUGAAUCAUCAAUGACUUCCUCCAGCAUCAUGUCGCCAUGAUGUGGGAGAGGUGGAGGCGUCCUGAAAUAUGAAUGGCCCUGAUGACAGCGAUUGGAAUGAAAAAUUUAAGACGUGCAAAGAGCAGAUUGGUAAUGAAAGGACGGGGAGUGAACGAAUACUUACACCUGCUGGAUUUCAGAAGGGACUGGAAUCGUGCGAAUCAUGACAGCAUUGUUUUCUUUUUGCGUCUGAACAACGGAAAGGCGUAUGUUGUCUGAUGGUUAUUUUGCUCAACAUCUUGGAUCACUAAAAGCACUAGCACAUAUGGAAACACACCACAUUGUUACAUAAUCCUUACUGCAGAGUCACAGUACAGUGCUGUUCUGUUUAGCAGACAUACGUCCAUUUAAUUUGUAUUGUAUAUUGAAUUUCAUUACCACCAUGUAUAGUAGGCCUCUGUGUAUUUUAUCUGAUUUCAUAUGUGAGUGACUGACAGCUGAAGUACAUCAAUCAUAGCACAGUUCAGUAUCGUGGGUGGCGAUUUUUUUUUUU